ACUCCUACGGGAGGCAGCAGUGGGGAAUUUUGCGCAAUGGGGGAAACCCUGACGCAGCAACGCCGCGUGAGUGAUGAAGGCCUUCGGGUCGUAAAGCUCUGUCAGAGGGAACGAAUUGCGGGCGGCUAAUAUCCGUGCCGUUUGACGGUACCCUCAGAGGAAGCACCGGCUAACUCCGUGCCAGCAGCCGCGGUAAUACGGAGGGUGCGAGCGUUGUUCGGAAUUAUUGGGCGUAAAGCGCGUGUAGGCGGUUUGGUAAGUCUGAUGUGAAAGCCCUGGGCUCAACCUGGGAAGUGCAUUGGAUACUGCCAGACUUGAGUACGGGAGAGGAGAGUGGAAUUCCCAGUGUAGGAGUGAAAUCCGUAGAUAUUGGGAGGAACACCGGUGGCGAAGGCGGCUCUCUGGACCGAUACUGACGCUGAGACGCGAAAGCGUGGGGAGCAAACAGGAUUAGAUACCCUGGUAGUCCACGCCGUAAACGAUGAGAACUAGGUGUUGCGGGUA
Molecule: ribosomal RNA, 504 nt
Filed under: uncultured Geobacter sp.
Lineage: Bacteria; Pseudomonadati; Thermodesulfobacteriota; Desulfuromonadia; Geobacterales; Geobacteraceae
Description: bacterial SSU rRNA
Rfam family: Bacterial small subunit ribosomal RNA
Source: RNAcentral